UUUUUUUUUUUUUUUUUUUAAGAUUUUAUUUAUUUGAGAGAGAGAAAGAGAGAGCACAAGUGGGCCAAGGGGCAGAGGGAAAGGGAGAAACAGACUCCCCCCACCCGCUGGACAAGGAGCCUGAUAGAGGCAGAUCCCAGGACCCUGGGAUCAUGAUCUGAGCCAAAGGCAGACAUUUAACCAACUGAACCACCCAUGUGCCCCAUUGGUGGAGUUUUUUCAUUAGUUAACUCUUAAAAACAAGAUAACAGCAGGAUAUCUGUUGAUCCGUGAGAUUUAAAAAAUCCCUUUAAGUUGCAUAUUGAUUUAGAAUAUGAAUAUUGAUGCCAAUCCACUGGUGAUGAAUUGCAGCAUGGGGUGUGAGGAUGAGGCCAGUUGGCAGGCGUCUGAGCCUGGACUCCGGGCAGGUCAGAAUGUGUAGGCCUUGUGACUCUAUUACUGAUCAUGGAUCCUGGGGGUAAAUGACAGGAUCCUGUGAGAUUUCUCAGUCAUUUCUGAAGUAGGUUUUCAUUCAAAUUUGGGUAAACAUAUAAAAGUAAAUGCCAAAUACCUGGGCACUAGCCCAACCUUGAGUUGAUGCUUAGAAUGAGGUAGGUAAACAAGUGACCGAAGGAAAAGUUUUUUAAGCCAAUGAGAAUAUCAGUGAAGUAGUUUUACUUAGGGGCAGGGUUGAGCAGAAUGACAGAGUGGUGUAUCUUGAGCCCUUAAGUAUACUAAGAGUAGAUACCUAGUUUUACUAUAUGGCACUUUGAGUCUGUGAAGAUAAUCUUAUAUACGCGUAUCAAUAUAUUUCAGAUAUAUAUGAUGUAUUUAUGACAUAUGUAUCUAUAUCUUACUAAUACCUGUGUAUUGCAUCACAUUUAGAAGAAUCAAAGGGGGAUAUAGUGAAAAGUUAGUCCCCACCCCUUCCAUAUCUCCCAGCCACCCAAUAUCCCUCAUGGAAAGCAAAUUACAAUAGCCAGUUCCUUCCUUCCUUCUUGCUCUUUGCUCUACUUGGUUAAGAACUCCUGCUCAGAAAAUUUCCAGCCUCUACAUUUUCCUGCCUGGUUAAAUUUAACCUUAUUUAUCUCUUUCCAAGCCUCAAUGCUUUAUUUAUUCUUCUUACUCUCUUUUUUCCAGUUCUCCCUCACAAGGUACCUACAUCUCAUCUUUUACGUAUACUUUUUUUCCCAUUUCCUAGAUGUUAUUCAUGUUCUUUGUUCUCAGGUCUAUCUGAAAUAUCUACUUCUUCGAGACUGAAGUCAGACCCCAUUUUUUUUCUGACCGCUCUUCUCCAUCCCCAUUGAUUUCCUUCUUUUCUGAAUCCCUGGGCAUCUACAAAGGGGGUUAUUUGAGUUUCUGUUUUCAGUAUUCCAAAAUGAUACCAAAACAUAUUAAAGUGUUAUGUUUCAUUAUUUUGGUUGGAACUAUAUAAAUCUAAAGAGAGGCAGAGAUUAGCUCGAAGCCACCAGACGUUACAAUUAGAAAUUCAUCUUUGAUUAAUGAAGAAAAACAUUUGAUAUACAAAAUCUUUCAAACUGCGAUCCCCAGGGGAAAAGAGUAAAAGGAGUUCAUGAUGCGGAGGAGCUGCAAAGCACUAAAAGUAUACACAUUUAAUAUUUAUCUAUAUGUAGUGAAGGGAUUGAAAGCAUGAUUUUGAAGCCAGGCAGAUCGGGGUUUGACAUGAUCUGUACAAUUUUGGGCAAUUUGCAUUAUCUCUUGGAGCCUUGGUUUCUCUAUAAGGAAAUAAGUCAAGGCAAAUAAAACACUCAGAACAAUGCUUAGUAAAUGCUCAAUAAAUGUUAAGUGUUAUUGUUGUUAUUUCUUCUUGUAGGUGAUUUGUCUCCUUAAGGUUACCUUAUAGGAGGUAAGGAUUAUUCAGGUGGACCCAAUGUAAUCACUAGAGUCCUUAAAAGGUAGAAGAAGACGGAGGAUUCAGAGAACGAGAUGAGAUGACAAGUCAUUGUCAAAGUUAGAGUUAUUCGAUGUGACAUUUCAACUUGCUGUUGUAGGCUUUGUAGGGGAAGGAAGAAGCCAGGAGCCAGAAGCCAAGGAACACAGAUGGCCUCUAAAAAGGAGCCGGAAAUGUACGGAAAUAGAUUCUCCCCUAGAUACUCCAGAGGUGAAUAUCCCUGCCAACACCUUGCUUUUAGCAUCAUGAGAUGAGUUCAGACUUCUGACCUCUAGAAUUGGAAGACAAUCAAUUUAUGUUGCUUGAAGCCACUAAGUUGGUGGUAAUUUAUAAAACAUCAGUAGGAAAUGAAUGCAUUUCCUCAGCUGGACUCCUUUAUGAAGACUAAUUUUGAAUAGCUCGUAGUGUCCAAAAUAACAUUAGAUAAAAUGGUGUUGGAUAUAAACAUAGAUCAAUGAGUUGGGUUUACUGAGGGUUCCAGCAGAGAGGCAUAGCAAUUUGUAAAUUGCUCUUUCUAGUGGAGAAGAGGAAGCCACCAGUCAGCUCCCUUGCUGAAUGUGGAUUUCUAUUACAGUACACGUUAAAAAUGUUGGGGAAAUUCCCUAUCUCACUGCCGGGGAUGGAUACUAACUGGCAGUAAGAUUCAUCUACAGCCCAGUCAUGGUUUUCCCCUUCAUGUCUCUACCUCCCAUAAUUACAGCUAGUUUACAAGCUUAAUAGUAAUUACUACCACGUAUUGAGCACACAGUAUGUACUAGGCCUUGUAAUUAAUGUUCUGCACACAUCAGCCUAUGUAAUUCUCACAAAAUUCCUAUGGUGGAAAAAAGAAAUGUAGUGCCCUGUUUUUCAACUUUCAGGUUUUGACUGUCAGUGGAUCCUGAAAUCAGUUUGGUUGGGAGUGAUUAGCCAUUCUAAAAAAUAAAAUAUAAUAGAAUAUAUCAAUUGCAUGAAGUAAGAGUAAGAAUAAUUUAAUAAAAUGUUGGUUUUAAUUAUAUAUAUAAUAUUAUAUAUAAUAUAUAUUAUAUAUAAUAUUAUAUAUAAUAAUAAUAAUAAUUCUUGUAAUAGAUCAUAUUUAAAAAUUUAAAAACCACCAAUAGGGGUGCCUGGGUGGCUCAAUCUGUUAAGUGUCCUACUCUUGAUUUCAUCUCAGGUUAUGAUCUCAGGGUUGUGAGCUUGAGCCCUGUGUUGGGCUCUGUGCUGGGUAUAGAACUUGCUUAAGAUUCUGUCUCUCUCUCCCUCUCCCUCUGCUUCUCCUCCCCUUAAAAAAAAAAAUAAAAAAACAAAUCACCAAUGAAAUGGUUGAGAGUCUAGGCUUUAGCAACAGCACUGAGUUUAAUCUCAAUUCUUUAUUUGAACAUCUCUGUGAUCUUCAGCAUGUUACUUAUUUCUUUGUUACCUCAUCUUAUAGGCUUCCAUCUCAAGUUUUUUUUUUUUUUUUCUCUCUUUCUUUCUUUAUUUUUUUUGAGGGUGAAGUGGGUUAAUCCAAGCAAAGCACUUAGAACAAUGCCUUAGUAAAUAACGCUUGGUUAAUGAUACAUCCUGAUGCCAGAUGGUUAGUAAGCAGGGAACUGGGCAGAUUCCUGCCAAGUCUAGUCUUGAGUUUGGAAUCUAAGGCAGUUUCGUGCAAUCUUAGGUGUCUCCUCAUAGCAAACAAACAAACAAAAAUGUAAGUCUCCCUUUACAUGUUUACCAGCAAGUUGAAAAUAAUUGUCUCCUCAGGAAGUUGGCCUAGUUGACAGUCUUGUCUCUGAGGGAAAACAAACUUUGUGACUUGUCUUCUGAGCUCCAAGGGAAGAAUAUGUAAAAGACACUCAGGGGCAUAGAUAACAAAUGGAUAUCUCCCUUAACCCUUUACAGUAGGAAAUUAGAUCAAGUAAGAAAUCCCAUAGGAAUCUGGGGUGAGGUCAGCUAUCUAAAAGCAUAUCAAGUGACUGGAGUUCUGGUUUUGCUUUGCAGUUUGAUUUUUGUCUUUUUUUUUUUUUUUUCCCUUGCUUUGUUUCCUCCUCUGCUUUAGCAGGCAACUCAGACAUUUUUAUGAAUCUCUUAAAAAUGUAUUGACCCUACCUGGUGUUAAGUGCCUUGUAUUGAUUGAAAUAUAUUGCUAGGCUGUAUUGCUUCUGUAGUCUCUGAAAUUGUAAGAAUUUAAGACACUAAUGACUCUCAAGUUAUAGCUAAGUGUUGAUAAAAUUAUUCUGGGCCUUUAAAAUAUUGAUUUUAAUGUUCAGCCAAUAUUCAACUUAAAAUGAAUUCUAUACCAUUUCCAGGUUGUUUGAGUAUAGAGUUAUUUUGUUGCUAUUUAAGGUUUUGCUGGAAGAUGUGUUUCUAGGCUUUAAGAUUGGGGAAGGGUAUGAAUCUAACCUGUGUAUGAGGAUCUGGCAAGAAGGCAGCAGUGUUCUGAACCAGCAGGGAAAGGAAGGAGGUAUAUUCAGCGCCCCUUCCUUCCCCAUUUCAGCACAUCCAUUCCUUCAUCUUAACAUAUGUUGAUUGGUUUAACAUUAUUUGCAAGCAUAUGGCCCUGCUGCCUUAGAAUGCUAAGUAGAAGGGAAAAUAGUGCCAAUAAUUUCCUGACAGGAAUGUGCCUCUUUCACUUUUUUUUUCUUGAAGAAUAUGAUCUGCUCUUCUCUAUUUCCUUCCUUCCUUCCUUCCUUCCUUCCUUCCUUCCUUCCUUCCUUCCUUCCUUCCUUCCUUUUUUCUUUCUUUCCUUCCUUCCUUACUUAAACUUUUAGAACAGUUUCAGGUUCAUAGCCAAAUUAAGGGGAAGAUACAGAGAUUUCCCAUGUAUCCUUGCCCAACACAUGUAUAAUUCACCCAUUACCAAAAUCCCUCACAAGAAUAGUAAAUUGAUUACAACUGAUAAAUGUACAUAGCCACUUGGAAUCCACAGUUUAUUUACAGUUCAUUAUUGAUAUACAUUCUGUAGAUUUGGACAAAUGUAUUAUGGCAUAUAUCCAUCAUUUAUAGUAUCAUACAGAAUGGUUUCACUACUCUAAAAAUCAUGUAUGCUACACAUGUCCAUUCAUGAUCCCCACACGUAGUAACCACUGGUCUUUUACUGUCUCCAUAAUUUUGCCUUUUCCAGAAUAUCGUAUAGCUGGAAUCAUAUGAUAUAUAAUCUUUUCAGAGUGGCUUCUUUUACGUAAUAUGUAUUUCAGUUUCCUCCAUGGCUUUUCUUGGCUUUAUAGUUCAUUUCUUUUUAGCCAAGUAAUAUUCUUUUGCCUGGGUAUGCCACAGUUUAUUUAUCCACUCGCUUACAGAAGGGCAUCUUGAUUGAUUCAGAGUUUUGGAAAUUGCGAGUAAAACCGCCAUAAACAUCUUUGUGCGGAUUUUUGUGUGGAUGUAAGUUUUUAGCUCCUUUGCGCAAAUAUCAAGGAGCUCAAUUGCUGGAUCAUUUGGUAAAAAGAUGUUUGGUUUUGUAAGAAACUUCCAAACUAUCUUCGAAAGCGUCUGUGCCCCACCCUCUCUGUCUCGUUUUAAGUCUCUGAACAAUCUUUGAGGUCAGCAGUAGCCUAAAUGAAUAAGCAUGUGUAUGUUUGGUCACUUAGUGGAUAUAGUUUUGCAAGGCAUUCUGUGGAACUGGUUAUCUAUAAGCAAGCUGUUCCCGCAGCUGGCCCCAGACUUCUGCAACCCAAUUUGUGAUGUGUUUGUAAAAGGCCUAGAGAAGCUGAAUUAUGUCUUUCAUUGGUCUUCAGGGGGUAGGUACAUAGGAAUUGCAGCAAGGAUAGCGCAAGUGGCCUCACAGAGAUUCAUGUGGGGUAGGUCUGUGAUCCUCUGAAAUAUAAACUGGAUGGUCAUUGACUUUGUGAGAGCACAGAAAAAGCAAAAGUAUGCCGGCCUUUUAGGUGGAGCUCAGUGUUCCUUUCUGUCAAUCGAGUAUCCUUUCAUACCUGCUUUCUCAGGGCAGAGACAUUUUAUGGGGCCGUGGAUAUUCUGAGAGAAAAAGUCAUAUUGGAUGGUCACUGGAGACACCUCCUGUUGAGAGCUAGGAGAGGUGAGUGAGAAGGCUGCAAUGCUCUCAUUCCUCAAUGGCCCCCUUUCGACGGUGCAUUUAGUAAUGAGUAUAUUUAGUUGCACAUGCAUGUGUGGUUAUUCAUACACGGUAGAGAGUGGUAGAAGCACAUGACCUAGUUAACAUUGCUUUUAAAAAGUAACACAGCUCUAAUAAAACAAGUCUGUUUCAAAUCAAAAGUUUUAAUGACAAAAAUACCAUGAUUGGAAUGUAUCUAACAAAUGCUAUCUUUCUUCUUGAACUUGGAGCAAGUAAGAGUUGAACUCAGUGGUCAGCGGGUUGGUAUCACAUGCCAGCUGUCAUGCUAAGCAACAACGGGAUGAGUGCACACAAGGCUUGGUGCAGCCAUAGUGGACUUGACAACCUCAUCU
This 6268-nucleotide long non-coding RNA is filed under the name Canis lupus familiaris (dog). RNAcentral's name for it is "lncRNA (ENSCAFG00845018907.1)". The record is from RNAcentral. Lineage: Eukaryota; Metazoa; Chordata; Mammalia; Carnivora; Canidae.